AACAGUUUGUUUUUUGUUUUG
Molecule: microRNA, 21 nt
Filed under: Corchorus olitorius
Lineage: Eukaryota; Viridiplantae; Streptophyta; Magnoliopsida; Malvales; Malvaceae
Description: ath-miR599
Source: RNAcentral